GGUGGCUCAGUGAUGGAGUGCUUGCCUUGCAUGCAUGAGGACCUGGGUUCAAUUCCUCAGCACCA
This 65-nucleotide transfer RNA is filed under the name Dipodomys ordii (Ord's kangaroo rat). It matches the Rfam family "tRNA". From Rfam's summary of the family: Transfer RNA (tRNA) molecules are approximately 80 nucleotides in length. Lineage: Eukaryota; Metazoa; Chordata; Mammalia; Rodentia; Heteromyidae. The record is from Rfam by way of RNAcentral.